This 495-nucleotide ribosomal RNA is filed under the name uncultured bacterium. Its description in RNAcentral is "partial 16S ribosomal RNA". It matches the Rfam family "Bacterial small subunit ribosomal RNA", at positions 28 to 507 of the family's 1533-position model. The record is from RNAcentral.
GACGAACGCUGGCGGCGUGCCUAAUACAUGCAAGUAGAACGCUGAAGGAGGAGCUUGCUUCUCUGGAUGAGUUGCGAACGGGCGAGUAACGCGUAGGUAACCUGCCUGGUAGCGGGGGAUAACUAUUGGAAACGAUAGCUAAUACCGCAUAAUAGUAGAUGUUGCAUGACAUUUGCUUAAAAGGUGCAAUUGCAUCACUACCAGAUGGACCUGCGUUGUAUUAGCUAGUUGGUGGGGUAACGGCUCACCAAGGCGACGAUACAUAGCCGACCUGAGAGGGUGAUCGGCCACACUGGGACUGAGACACGGCCCAGACUCCUACGGGAGGCAGCAGUAGGGAAUCUUCGGCAAUGGACGGAAGUCUGACCGAGCAACGCCGCGUGAGUGAAGAAGGUUUUCGGAUCGUAAAGCUCUGUUGUAAGAGAAGAACGAGUGUGAGAGUGGAAAGUUCACACUGUGACGGUAUCUUACCAGAAAGGGACGGCUAACUACGUG